AGGACCGAGUGCCGCUCACG
Molecule: small RNA, 20 nt
Filed under: Arabidopsis thaliana (thale cress)
Lineage: Eukaryota; Viridiplantae; Streptophyta; Magnoliopsida; Brassicales; Brassicaceae
Description: Ath_wt_01837
Source: RNAcentral